Long non-coding RNA from Sorex araneus (European shrew), 825 nucleotides. RefSeq lists it as uncharacterized. The transcript has 3 exons. Lineage: Eukaryota; Metazoa; Chordata; Mammalia; Eulipotyphla; Soricidae. The record is from RefSeq and is a predicted model, not a curated record.
UCCUUCGAACACGUUCAAGUCCCUCAGGGAGUCAGAUCACGUUGACUGGAAUGAGUCACUCGGCUGGAAACAUCCCUUCCGAGGCAGCUCCGGGUGGGCACGUUUAGUCCUAGGCGCGGAACGGGACUGCAGCGAACAGACUGAGCAGCCUGGGAGCAGGGUCACUGAAUACCUCCAGGAGUGACUCUGAGCACAGGGCCUGGAGUGGCCCAUGAACGCUGCCAGGUGUGGUGCCACCUGCUCCCCUCUAAGCCAACAGAAGUUCUCCAGAGACACAGCACAGCGGGACCCCCUACAUGGCCGCCUCCUCCUCCUCUCGCGAGUUGUGCAAAGAAGGCUGCACCUGAUUCAAUAUUGGGAUUUCCUGUUGGUCUGUCAACAUGCCGGAGCCCUCCUCCCAUCACCUGCUCCUCGGGCCGGGCGCGCUGGACCCCGUGCCCCUCAGCCAGGCAAUCCAGACCAGGGCUAGGUAGGAGGAGGGCCGGCCGGGGCUGUGUCUAGCUCAGGGCCGGCUGCCCGAAGCCUUAAAUGGACACCCUGUCUUCUCCCCGUGGGUCCAUUUCUCCUUUGCUGAGGGCCAGCCAGGAUCGUGCCCGUUUGCACGAAGUUCUGUGAACAGUCCCCGAAAACCCAGCACCCCACCCCCUCCCCCCUGGCUCCGUCCCGCUCCUCCCCUUCUGGGAAGGCUCCACUCUUCUCGACAAAGGUCAGUGCCUGGAGGUUCCAGUUGGCCGGCCCCUCCCCCAGUGCAGAGCCCAAGUCCUCUUUCCUGUCCUUCCCUACCGCCCCCUUCACCCCAGACCCUGCUGGUCACUUACCAGGGGG